AGUGAACGCUGGCGGUAGGCCUAACACUUGCAAGUCGAACGGCAGCACAGUAAGAGCUUGCUCUUACGGGUGGCGAGUGGCGGACGGGUGAGGAAUACAUCGGAAUCUACUUUUUCGUGGGGGAUAACGUAGGGAAACUUACGCUAAUACCGCAUACGACCUACGGGUGAAAGCAGGGGAUCUUCGGACCUUGCGCGAUUGAAUGAGCCGAUGUCGGAUUAGCUAGUUGGCGGGGUAAAGGCCCACCAAGGCGACGAUCCGUAGCUGGUCUGAGAGGAUGAUCAGCCACACUGGAACUGAGACACGGUCCAGACUCCUACGGGAGGCAGCAGUGGGGAAUAUUGGACAAUGGGCGCAAGCCUGAUCCAGCCAGACCGCGUGGGUGAAGAAGGCCUUCGGGUUGUAAAGCCCUUUUGUUGGGAAAGAAAAGCAGCAGGUUAAUACCCCGCUGUUCUGACGGUACCCAAAGAAUAAGCACCGGCUAACUUCGUG
This 492-nucleotide ribosomal RNA is filed under the name uncultured bacterium. RNAcentral's name for it is "partial 16S ribosomal RNA". It matches the Rfam family "Bacterial small subunit ribosomal RNA", at positions 29 to 507 of the family's 1533-position model. The record is from RNAcentral.